This 23-nucleotide non-coding RNA is filed under the name Arabidopsis thaliana (thale cress). Lineage: Eukaryota; Viridiplantae; Streptophyta; Magnoliopsida; Brassicales; Brassicaceae. The record is from RNAcentral.
AUCGAUGAAUGCUCGAACCUGUA